RNAcentral lists this long non-coding RNA (807 nucleotides) under Zea mays. RNAcentral describes it as "long non-coding RNA (ZMAY_LNC004951)". The record is from RNAcentral. Lineage: Eukaryota; Viridiplantae; Streptophyta; Magnoliopsida; Poales; Poaceae.
AACCAAACACUCAAGUGGCUUUACACUUCAGCCACAAAAAACCAAAAGCUAUCCAUAAUUUAGAGGCUACCCAAAAGCUCAUACUAUUCCCCAUCUGCGAGUGGAAAGGCAACACAAAAGCUUAUAUUGUUCUCCAUCUGCAAAGACAAACAUCCGAGGUUGUACAAAAAAACAAACUGUGCUGAUUUUAAACUAAAAUUCAGCAGUAAGAUCAUAGGUGAUUGGUCCCUACAAGAGGAAAGAACAACAAUUGAAUUCUUUUUAUUAUGAAAUAUCAUCUGAAUAAUUAUGUCAUCGUUGUUAAAUAUUACCAUCAACAACCGAGAAAAUUUAUGGAUGGCCAUACAUGUUCAGGCACCCCUUCCUUCUAGCAAAAAGUACUAGGGACUGCUACAGCACCAUCUUCGAAUUGCACAGUUGUUGUACUAGGGGACAUAUUUUGGACUGCUGGAACACUCUCACCGAAUGGCACCGUUGUAGCUUUUUGUUCCUUCUUAUAAAAGAGAAUGAAAUAAGUAAUACAAUUAGACACUAAUACAAUUAAAAUCAAUCAAAUUAUUCUAGUCUGCGACGUACCACUGAACAUUUUCCCCUUUUCUUAUGUCCCUUUUUAGCCCUUAUGCAUCUUUUCAACCUAACUUUUUUCCGCUUUGAGCUUUUUGUCUCCACCUCCUUCUUCUUUAGUUGUGUUGUACUAACCAAAUUACAUGGGAGAGUGACAUUCGAGGGAGAAGUGAUUGGAUCCACUGUACUACUACAAUUAUUGAUUUCUUCCUCAACUUGCUUGCUAAGGAUGUCAACUUACUA